UAUGAUUUUCAUGGACAAAAACUUGCUGCUGGCAGAUGACCUUAUAGCUUAGCAGGACAACCACGUCCAGGAACUCCAAUUAUUGCCAUCCUCUGAUUGAAUGGUAAUAAUUAAUUCUACAAACAAUUUCCAUAUUUUUUUCCUCUGAUGUGGCACAAUGCCAUUGGCUCAAAACCUUCAUCGUUGAGUAGUUUGUUACAGAAGAGAUGGAAACUGUUCUUGUUGCUUUGUGAACUCGGAGAGAGAUAGAGAUAAUUCAGAACAGGGGGUCACUUGUUUGUUUUUCACUUUUGCCUACAUUAGUUGGUUGUUUUGUCCUUCGAAGUUUUGUUCUCUCCUCGUUCUUUUGAGGGGAAGAGAGGGUUAGAAGACAGAAGAGAGGAGUGUGUUGUUUUGUUGCAGGAAAGAGGGACAGAAUGUAUAAGCAAGCUUUAAUGGGAGAUGCAUGGAUAAGAGAAGCUCAAGAAGCAUCAAAGUUGGUGGAAGAUAUAGAAACUAGAGUAAAGAACAAGAACCCAUCUCUAAAACACCAAGAAAAUAGGCUUGUAGACAUUACUGCUCGUUCCAAGCUUUUGGAAGCUGGGAUCAAACUUGAUCGUCUUGAAUCUCUCCUUAGAAACCCUCCUUCAAAACCCAUUUUAACUGUGACUGUUCACAAAUGGUUGUUUCUAACUCUCUUUGUCAUGGAUAUGGUCGAUUCACUGUCCAUUUGCAGAACUAAUGAAGAUUUGGAUUAUCGGUGGAAGAUGCUGUCGGAACUGCAGCUAAGAACAAAAGCAUUGGCUCUUAGGCUGUAUGCUUUACCAACUUCAAGCAGGCCAGGAUGCUUAACUCCUGAAAAUGCCGAAGCAAUAAACACAAAUGUCAGUGACUGUGAGCAAGUUUUUAAUGGAGAAAAGAGCAUCCGAGCUAAAGUAGCAUCUCCAACCAAAAUUAGGUUGGAGCAAGGACCACUGGAAAUGUAAUCCUACAAGCAUUUACGAUAUAUGGCUACAAAGAAAACUGGAUAGUUAGAUGUUUCAUGAGAUUAGGAUUUGAAAGCUCCACUAAUUAUGAACUAAUCCGAGGAAAUGGAUGGAUCAGUUUCCUCUCCCGGAUUAACUAGAUCAAACAAAAUCGUCAUUGUCCAGAGAUGACCCAGAGCUUCUCAGACCUCUCAUUUCUAAUGAUGUAACGUUGCAAAGCCAAGUGCAGAUGAAGCAAUGUGGUACUUCUACUUCAUUGAGUUUGCUACAGAAGGUUUUCUGGAUCUUCGGUGCAGUUCUUGGAUCAGCUGCACUUAUAUUUAUCUUGGUUCUCAUCUGUGCAGUCAUAUAAUCUGAUUCUCAGCUGACCAUUUUGACUUUAAGACGUCUUCAUAAUCUUAAAGCUGGGAAACUAUUUUACACCAAUCUGUCAUCUACAUUUUUGUUUGGUAUGGCAUUUCAGGACAGAGGAAGCCUAUUUUGUAGAAUCAAAUACAUAGUUACAAACAAAACUUAAAGAAAUAAAUGAGGUGAUAUUUUAUCAUCUACUGCAAUUUUGAAUUGUAA
Theobroma cacao (cacao) is the source of this 1532-nucleotide non-coding RNA. Lineage: Eukaryota; Viridiplantae; Streptophyta; Magnoliopsida; Malvales; Malvaceae. The record is from RefSeq and is a predicted model, not a curated record.